Molecule: long non-coding RNA, 219 nt
Filed under: Elaeis guineensis (African oil palm)
Lineage: Eukaryota; Viridiplantae; Streptophyta; Magnoliopsida; Arecales; Arecaceae
Description: long non-coding RNA (EGUI_LNC055674)
Source: RNAcentral
CUGUAGUAGUGUGAGUGAUCCUUUGACCUAUGGUGUCAUUGGCUAUUCGCAGUGAGGCUACUGGGUUUGACUGUACAUUCUCUUAGUUUCUAGCCAUUCGGAUCUUUGCUGUAUAUGUUGGUUUCAGUAGGUUCGGGUUCGCUAUUUGGAGUAGGAUGCACCUAGAUGGAAUCUAUUGAUCUUGGUAGAAAAGGAGAAGUCCUAUGCACUUUGCGAGAC